AGAGUUUGAUCAUGGCUCAGAAUGAACGCUGGCGGCGUGCUUAACACAUGCAAGUCGAACGGUAGCAGAAGAGAGCUUGCUUUCUUGCUGACGAGUGGCGCACGGGUGAGUAAUGCAUAGGUAACGUGCCCCUUAGUCUGGGAUAGCCACUGGAAACGGUGAAUAAUACCGGAUACUCCUUCUGCCUUAAUGGUAGUCGGGAAAGUUUUUUCGCUAAGGGAUCGGCCUAUGUCCUAUCAGGUAGUUGGUGAGGUAAGAGCUCACCAAGCCAAUGACGGGUAGCGGGUCUGAGAGGAUGAUCCGCCACACUGGUACUGAGACACGGACCAGACUCCUACGGGAGGCAGCAGUGGGGAAUAUUGCACAAUGGACGAAAGUCUGAUGCAGCAACGCCGCGUGGAGGAUGACACAUUUCGGUGCGUAAACUCCUUUUAUGUGAGAAGAUAAUGACGGUAUCACAUGAAUAAGCACCGGCUAACUCCGUGCCAGCAGCCGCGGUAAUACGGAGGGUGCAAGCGUUAUUCGGAAUCACUGGGCGUAAAGGGUGCGUAGGCGGUUUGGAAAGUCAGGUGUGAAAUCCUACAGCUUAACUGUAGAACUGCACUUGAAACUUCCAGACUAGAAUACUGAAGGGGCAGAUGGAAUUAGUGGUGUAGGGGUAAAAUCCGUAGAUAUCACUAGGAAUACCGAAAGCGAAAGCGAUCUGCUGGGAAGUUAUUGACGCUGAGGCACGAAAGCGUGGGGAGCAAACGGGAUUAGAUACCCCGGUAGUCCACGCCCUAAACGAUGAAUGCUAGUCGUCGGAAAGCUUGUCUUUUCGGUGAUGCAGUUAACACAUUAAGCAUUCCGCCUGGGGAGUACGGUCGCAAGAUUAAAACUCAAAGGAAUAGACGGGGACCCGCACAAGUGGUGGAGCGUGUGGUUUAAUUUCGAAGAUACGCGAAAGAACCCUUACCUGGCCCUUGACAAUG
Molecule: ribosomal RNA, 971 nt
Filed under: uncultured Sulfurimonas sp.
Lineage: Bacteria; Pseudomonadati; Campylobacterota; Epsilonproteobacteria; Campylobacterales; Sulfurimonadaceae
Description: bacterial SSU rRNA
Rfam family: Bacterial small subunit ribosomal RNA
Source: RNAcentral